RNAcentral lists this ribosomal RNA (616 nucleotides) under bacterium ocme08sprp766. RNAcentral describes it as "bacterial SSU rRNA". It matches the Rfam family "Bacterial small subunit ribosomal RNA", at positions 48 to 655 of the family's 1533-position model. The record is from RNAcentral.
GCUACACAUGCAGUCGAGCGGUAGCACAGAAGAGCUUGCUCUUUGGGUGACGAGCGGCGGACGGGUGAGUAAUGUCUGGGAAACUGCCUGAUGGAGGGGGAUAACUACUGGAAACGGUAGCUAAUACCGCAUAACGUCGCAAGACCAAAGUGGGGGACCUUCGGGCCUCAUGCCAUCAGAUGUGCCCAGAUGGGAUUAGCUAGUAGGUGAGGUAAUGGCUCACCUAGGCGACGAUCCCUAGCUGGUCUGAGAGGAUGACCAGCCACACUGGAACUGAGACACGGUCCAGACUCCUACGGGAGGCAGCAGUGGGGAAUAUUGCACAAUGGGCGCAAGCCUGAUGCAGCCAUGCCGCGUGUAUGAAGAAGGCCUUCGGGUUGUAAAGUACUUUCAGCGAGGAGGAAGGCGAUAAGGUUAAUAACCUUGUCGAUUGACGUUACUCGCAGAAGAAGCACCGGCUAACUCCGUGCCAGCAGCCGCGGUAAUACGGAGGGUGCAAGCGUUAAUCGGAAUUACUGGGCGUAAAGCGCACGCAGGCGGUCUGUCAAGUCGGAUGUGAAAUCCCCGGGCUCAACCUGGGAACUGCAUCCGAACUGGCAGGCUAGAGUCUUGUAGA